RNAcentral lists this long non-coding RNA (396 nucleotides) under Androctonus crassicauda. Lineage: Eukaryota; Metazoa; Arthropoda; Arachnida; Scorpiones; Buthidae. The record is from RNAcentral.
GAUUCUUGCUAAGAAUCCUCUUGUAUAUCCAUGCAAGUAACCCGUUUUAUAUAUGUACUGCAGUUCUUUUUCUUUUCCUUCUCUAGUACUAUUGUAGAGCUCAGCCCUUCUAAAGUAAAAUCUAAAUGCCGACAUCUUAUAAGAGGUUGGAUCGUGGGACCAUUUCGGAAUGAUAAUUGGGUUAUAUACAAUUGGAUUUUUGGCAGGAAUCCAUACUGGGGUGGGGCGGUCCCUUGUUGGAGAGGGGGCACCGAAUGAGCAUGCUGAGGCUGCAUACUAGGCGGUCCCCUGUGCAAUGAAAGAAUGUAAGUUUUUAGGGGACAUACAGGCAAGGAGUGGUGGGGGAUGGACCUGCAGCGGAUGUCCGACUAUCUUUGGCCGGCUCCGGGGUGACAG